This is a non-coding RNA of Paramisgurnus dabryanus, 612 nucleotides long. The record is from RefSeq and is a predicted model, not a curated record. NCBI's taxonomy places the organism in Eukaryota, Metazoa, Chordata, Actinopteri, Cypriniformes, Cobitidae.
GGUGUGGUUGCUGUUCCAGUACUGCCAGCAGGGAGAGCAGAACGAGCUGCUGAAGUGGCAGAAGGAACGACUGCUCGAGUAUGCCAGAGAGUUCCCUCCUGUCACAUGGCACCUUGACAGGAGGUUGAAGACAGCGCAAUUGAAGAAAGACCAGGCUCCUCUGACUGUCCCUGACCUCUCUCAGCAGGACCCCAACUACACCAGCGAUUCCGAGUUGUUGGCUGCUGCAGGCAAUGGUUCUGGGCACUUUGGUGGUGCACUCACUGCCAUUCACAAUGGCCCGUCAUCGUCAACCUUGCACAGACGCCGGCUGAGGACAAAGUGGCUCUGUCGCACGAAGCUUUCACGAACAUCAGCAAAAUAUUUUUUUUUCAUUUCUGUCUGUCUCUUGUUGUUUUUUAUUUCAGUGUCAUGCUUCACAACACCUCCAGGCGUUUCCGUGAGUUGUAAAUAAAAACAUUUGUAAAAUAUUAAAUGUGUCAUUCUCUUUAAGCUUCAAGCUUAAAGUAUGCUGAUUUUUGUUAAGUCACGCUCAGAAUCAUAUUAAAAUCACAAAAAUAUAGAGCUGGGGUAACCCUAACAAUUCUGUUCUUCCAAAGCCUGCUGCGCCCA